GACGAACGCUGGCGGCGUGCUUAACACAUGCAAGUCGAACGGAAAGUCCCUGCUUUUGUGUGGUGCUCGAGUUGCGAACGGGUGAGUAACACGUGAGUAAUCUGCCCUUGGUUUUGUGAUAACUUCAGGAAACUGGGGCUAAUACCGGAUAGGAGCUCCUGCUUCAUGGUUUUGGUUGGAAAGUUUCGGCGGUUGGGGAUGUACUCGCGGCUUAUCAGCUCGCUGGUGGGGUAGUGGCUUACCAAGGCUUUGACGGGUAGCCGGCCUGAGAGGCUGACCGGCCACAUUGGGACUGAGAUACGGCCCAGACGCCUACGGGAGGCAGCAGUGGGGAAUAUUGCACAAUGGGCGGAAGCAUGAUGCAGCAGCGCCGCGUGCGGGAUGACGGCCUUCGGGUUGUAAACCGCUUUCGCCUGUGACGAAGCGUGAGUGACGGUAAUGGGUAAAGAAGCACCGGCUAAUUACGU
Molecule: ribosomal RNA, 467 nt
Filed under: uncultured bacterium
Lineage: Bacteria
Description: partial 16S ribosomal RNA
Rfam family: Bacterial small subunit ribosomal RNA
Source: RNAcentral